RNAcentral lists this ribosomal RNA (292 nucleotides) under uncultured bacterium. RNAcentral's name for it is "partial 16S ribosomal RNA". It matches the Rfam family "Bacterial small subunit ribosomal RNA", at positions 505 to 796 of the family's 1533-position model. The record is from RNAcentral.
GUGUCAGCCGCCGCGGUAAUACAGAGGGUGCGAGCGUUAAUCGGAAUUACUGGGCGUAAAGCGCGCGUAGGCGGCUUUGCAAGUCGAGUGUGAAAUCCCCGGGCUUAACCCGGGAACUGCAUUCGAGACUGCAUAGCUAGAGUAUGGGAGAGGGAAGUGGAAUUUCAGGUGUAGCGGUGAAAUGCGUAGAUAUCUGAAGGAACAUCAGUGGCGAAAGCGACUUCCUGGACCAAUACUGACGCUCAUGUGCGAAAGCGUGGGGAGCAAACAGGAUUAGAUACCCCUGUAGUCC